Heterocephalus glaber (naked mole-rat) is the source of this 340-nucleotide long non-coding RNA. Lineage: Eukaryota; Metazoa; Chordata; Mammalia; Rodentia; Bathyergidae. The record is from Ensembl.
AGGCAGGUGGCGGAACCACUGAGCUCGUCCGGUUUUCUUUUCAUUCUUAACAAUUAUUUACUGAGUGCCUGGUGGUGCCAGGUGCCAUCUAUCUACUUGCCAGAGAAACUUGGGGAUAGCAUGACUUCUCUUGCCUUCCUGGGGCUGACAGUGAAAGAGACAGGCUGAGAAUACACAAUCAAGUAAAUAACUUGGAAUGGUGCUGAGUGCUACGAAGAUAACAAGAGGACAUAAAUCCAGACUCUGCAUCAGGUGACAAACAUGACCGUGGCCAUCCUUCCCACCCAAACACAAACAUGGCCAUCUUUUCCAAAAUUGUAGAACAAAUUAAGUUUGUAAA